GCAGGGUGGCCACCCAGUAAUCAGCACAAGUUAGAAUGUGGGCAACUCGACAGUCAUUGCGCAGGCACUUUGGUGACUCUAGAGAACCUCGGGCCGAUCGCAUGUCCCUGUGAUGGCGACUACACAUUCCGAUGUCUGCCCUAUCAACUCUCGAUGGUACUUUCUGCGCUUACCAUGGUGACCAUGGGUAACGGGAAUCAGGGUUCGAUUCCGGAGAGGGAGCCUGAGAAACGGCUACCACAUCCAAGGAAGGCAGCAGGAGCGCAAAUUACCCACUCCCGACGCGGUGAGGUAGUGAC
Pelobates cultripes (western spadefoot toad) is the source of this 299-nucleotide non-coding RNA. Lineage: Eukaryota; Metazoa; Chordata; Amphibia; Anura; Pelobatidae. The record is from the annotation of a GenBank genome assembly.